UAAUUUGAGAGUUUGAUCCUGGCUCAGGACGAACGCUGGCGGCGUGCCUAAUACAUGCAAGUCGAACGAACUCUGGUAUUGAUUGGUGCUUGCAUCAUGAUUUACAUUUGAGUGAGUGGCGAACUGGUGAGUAACACGUGGGAAACCUGCCCAGAAGCGGGGGAUAACACCUGGAAACAGAUGCUAAUACCGCAUAACAACUUGGACCGCAUGGUCCGAGCUUGAAAGAUGGCUUCAGCUAUCACUUUUGGAUGGUCCCGCGGCGUAUUAGCUAGAUGGUGGGGUAACGGCUCACCAUGGCAAUGAUACGUAGCCGACCUGAGAGGGUAAUCGGCCACAUUGGGACUGAGACACGGCCCAAACUCCUACGGGAGGCAGCAGUAGGGAAUCUUCCACAAUGGACGAAAGUCUGAUGGAGCAACGCCGCGUGAGUGAAGAAGGGUUUCGGCUCGUAAAACUCUGUUGUUAAAGAAGAACAUAUCUGAGAGUAACUGUUCAGGUAUUGACGGUAUUUAACCAGAAAGCCACGGCUAACUACGUGCCAGCAGCCGCGGUAAUACGUAGGUGGCAAGCGUUGUCCGGAUUUAUUGGGCGUAAAGCGAGCGCAGGCGGUUUUUUAAGUCUGAUGUGAAAGCCUUCGGCUCAACCGAAGAAGUGCAUCGGAAACUGGGAAACUUGAGUGCAGAAGAGGACAGUGGAACUCCAUGUGUAGCGGUGAAAUGCGUAGAUAUAUGGAAGAACACCAGUGGCGAAGGCGGCUGUCUGGUCUGUAACUGACGCUGAGGCUCGAAAGUAUGGGUAGCAAACAGGAUUAGAUACCCUGGUAGUCCAUACCGUAAACGAUGAAUGCUAAGUGUUGGAGGGUUUCCGCCCUUCAGUGCUGCAGCUAACGCAUUAAGCAUUCCGCCUGGGGAGUACGGCCGCAAGGCUGAAACUCAAAGGAAUUGACGGGGGCCCGCACAAGCGGUGGAGCAUGUGGUUUAAUUCGAAGCUACGCGAAGAACCUUACCAGGUCUUGACAUACUAUGCAAAUCUAAGAGAUUAGACGUUCCCUUCGGGGACAUGGAUACAGGUGGUGCAUGGUUGUCGUCAGCUCGUGUCGUGAGAUGUUGGGUUAAGUCCCGCAACGAGCGCAACCCUUAUUAUCAGUUGCCAGCAUUAAGUUGGGCACUCUGGUGAGACUGCGGGUGACAAACCGGAGGAAGGUGGGGAUGACGUCAAAUCAUCAUGCCCCUUAUGACCUGGGCUACACACGUGCUACAAUGGAUGGUACAACGAGUUGCGAACUCGCGAGAGUAAGCUAAUCUCUUAAAGCCAUUCUCAGUUCGGAUUGUAGGCUGCAACUCGCCUACAUGAAGUCGGAAUCGCUAGUAAUCGCGGAUCAGCAUGCCGCGGUGAAUACGUUCCCGGGCCUUGUACACACCGCCCGUCACACCAUGAGAGUUUGUAACACCCAAAGUCGGUGGGGUAACCUUUUAGGAACCAGCCGCCUAAGGUGGGACAGAUGAUUAGGGUGAAGUCGUAACAAGGUAGCCGUAGGAGAACCUGCGGCUGGAUCACCUCCUUU
Molecule: ribosomal RNA, 1567 nt
Filed under: Lactiplantibacillus plantarum
Lineage: Bacteria; Bacillati; Bacillota; Bacilli; Lactobacillales; Lactobacillaceae
Description: 16S ribosomal RNA
Rfam family: Bacterial small subunit ribosomal RNA
Source: RNAcentral